Molecule: long non-coding RNA, 612 nt
Filed under: Notechis scutatus (mainland tiger snake)
Lineage: Eukaryota; Metazoa; Chordata; Lepidosauria; Squamata; Elapidae
Description: lncRNA (ENSNSUG00000004002.1)
Source: RNAcentral
GGCUCUGCAUUGCUCCCCCUUGUGAGUAUUCAGAGGAUUUUGAAUCUGAGGAAAGUUUAGAUCUUCAGACAACUGGCUGUGAAGAGAAUGGUACUUUCCAGGAACUCCGGCAAAGCUUGGAGUUUGGCAAGAGCCAAAACAAGGUGAAAGGGGAAUGUUCCGAGGAUUCUGACUCCAUUGAGGAGGAGGUUCCCACUGAAGUCCCUGAGGAGAAAGAACCCACUGAAUGUCUGGGAGGGGCCGCUGAGCCGCUCCUUGCCAAAGCAGUGCUCUCCCCUCUGCCUGGCGCAGGCUCUGCUCCGGCCGCUGAGCCUCUUGUGUUGGAGUUCAAGCCAACCUGCCCAGGUGUUAAGAAGGAGCAAAGUCUCUCUGCAAAAAGGAAGGGCACUGCUGAAACCUACAUGCCCAUCAAGCCCAUGAGUCCGGCAGCUGCAGGUCGUUGGUACCUGGAAGAACAGGAAGGAAACGCCUCCAGUAAGAGAGAGUUUGUUUCUAAGUGCCUCCCUUAAGAGCUUGACAGGCAUACAGAAGCCACAGUGGUGAAAGGGCAGCAGAAAUGUGCCUGUCAUUUCUCUGAACAAGCCCAUGCUCAGAAUAAUUCUGGGUGUUGAC